AUGAGGGCUCUAUAUGAUGGCAAAUUCCACUCCUUCAGUGAUUUGAAUUCAUCAAUUAUCACGCUCCUUCCAAAGAAAGCUGAUUCCCUCGAGGUGAGCGAAUUCAGACCGAUUAAUCUCAUUCAUGGGGCUGCCAAGAUAUUUGCCAAGGUGCUUGCGGUGCGUGUAGCUCCCUCCCUGCCGGUUCUCAUCUCGCAGGCCCAGAGCGCGUUCAUCUGCAAGCGGAACAUGCAUGAGAACUUCAAGUUUGUGCGCAAUACGGCUCGUUGGCUGCACCAAAAGCGCAAGCAAGCAAUCUUGAUGAAGAUCGACAUAUCCAAAGCUUUUGAUACUUUGUCAUGGGAGUUCCUACUUGAGGUCUUGAGGAAAAGAGGAUUUGGCCGAAGAUGGUGCUCUUGGAUUUGUGGCCUUCUAUCUACGGCAUCAUCCUCUGUGCUAGUCAAUGGUGAAUUGUGCCAGCCAUUUGCACUUGGCUAG
RNAcentral lists this ribosomal RNA (477 nucleotides) under Triticum aestivum (bread wheat). RNAcentral's name for it is "partial small subunit ribosomal RNA". The record is from RNAcentral. Lineage: Eukaryota; Viridiplantae; Streptophyta; Magnoliopsida; Poales; Poaceae.